This 902-nucleotide ribosomal RNA is filed under the name uncultured bacterium. RNAcentral describes it as "bacterial SSU rRNA". It matches the Rfam family "Bacterial small subunit ribosomal RNA", at positions 51 to 944 of the family's 1533-position model. The record is from RNAcentral.
ACACAUGCAAGUCGAGGGGCAGCAUGAUUUGUAGCAAUACAGAUUGAUGGCGACCGGCGCACGGGUGAGUAACGCGUAUGCAACUUACCUAUCAGAGGGGGAUAGCCCGGCGAAAGUCGGAUUAAUACCCCAUAAAACAGGGGUCCCGCAUGGGAAUAUUUGUUAAAGAUUCAUCGCUGAUAGAUAGGCAUGCGUUCCAUUAGGCAGUUGGCGGGGUAACGGCCCACCAAACCGACGAUGGAUAGGGGUUCUGAGAGGAAGGUCCCCCACAUUGGUACUGAGACACGGACCAAACUCCUACGGGAGGCAGCAGUGAGGAAUAUUGGUCAAUGGCCGAGAGGCUGAACCAGCCAAGUCGCGUGAAGGAAGAAGGAUCUAUGGUUUGUAAACUUCUUUUAUAGGGGAAUAAAGUGGAGGACGUGUCCUUUUUUGUAUGUACCCUAUGAAUAAGCAUCGGCUAACUCCGUGCCAGCAGCCGCGGUAAUACGGAGGAUGCGAGCGUUAUCCGGAUUUAUUGGGUUUAAAGGGUGCGUAGGUGGUGAUUUAAGUCAGCGGUGAAAGUUUGUGGCUCAACCAUAAAAUUGCCGUUGAAACUGGGUUACUUGAGUGUGUUUGAGGUAGGCGGAAUGCGUGGUGUAGCGGUGAAAUGCAUAGAUAUCACGCAGAACUCCGAUUGCGAAGGCAGCUUACUAAACCAUAACUGACACUGAAGCACGAAAGCGUGGGGAUCAAACAGGAUUAGAUACCCUGGUAGUCCACGCAGUAAACGAUGAUUACUAGGAGUUUGCGAUACAAUGUAAGCUCUACAGCGAAAGCGUUAAGUAAUCCACCUGGGGAGUACGCCGGCAACGGUGAAACUCAAAGGAAUUGACGGGGGCCCGCACAAGCGGAGGAACAUGUGG